GAGUUUGAUCGUGGCUCAGGAUGAACGCCGGCGGUGUGCCUAAUACAUGCAAGUCGUACGCACUGGCCCAACUGAUUGAUGGUGCUUGCACCUGAUUGACGAUGGAUCACCAGUGAGUGGCGGACGGGUGAGUAACACGUAGGUAACCUGCCCCGGAGCGGGGGAUAACAUUUGGAAACAGAUGCUAAUACCGCAUAACAACAAAGGCCACAUGGCUUUUGUUUGAAAGAUGGCUUUGGCCAUCACUCUGGGAUGGACCUGCGGUGCAUUAGCUAGUUGGUAAGGUAACGGCUUACCAAGGCGAUGAUGCAUAGCCGAGUUGAGAGACUGAUCGGCCACAAUGGAACUGAGACACGGUCCAUACUCCUACGGGAGGCAGCAGUAGGGAAUCUUCCACAAUGGGCGCAAGCCUGAUGGAGCAACACCGCGUGAGUGAAGAAGGGUUUCGGCUCGUAAAGCUCUGUUGUUGGAG
This 472-nucleotide ribosomal RNA is filed under the name uncultured microorganism. RNAcentral describes it as "bacterial SSU rRNA". It matches the Rfam family "Bacterial small subunit ribosomal RNA", at positions 9 to 444 of the family's 1533-position model. The record is from RNAcentral.